Molecule: long non-coding RNA, 1071 nt
Organism: Heterocephalus glaber (naked mole-rat)
Lineage: Eukaryota; Metazoa; Chordata; Mammalia; Rodentia; Bathyergidae
Source: Ensembl
GUUAAAAUAUUAUUUGUGCCUCUUUUUCUGUUAAUAUUCUCCAGGAAUUCAACUACUAAAACAACUAUGACUGGUGACAAUAACAGUUCUCUAUAUUUUAAAUUCCAAAAUGCUUGUUAUUCAGGUAAAAUUAUAAGAGUUAAAUUCAUUACUCUUGUUACAGUGCUAAUGCUAUUGACCUUCUCUUCUGGGUGUUCAACAACUAAAGUUUGGAGACCAAAACUAAAAAGGAACAAAUGAGGGCAUUCACCAAGCAGACAGUCACAGAGUUCAUCAUGGCAGGGUACUAGCCAGUACGAAAAAAGGAAGAGGUCCCUACUUGCCACGGGCCUCAUCAGAUCCAAGUCUAGCCCCAAUCUUUGCCCCUUGUCAACAGGAAGCAGCUCCAGAAGAAGAGACCUUCACCCAACUAUCAUAAAACAAAAGCCUGGAAUGAUAGGUCUCCCACUACCUCAGCAGCUAUUAUGUAUAGUAGCUGCCCUCUUCCUAUCCUGCCUUGCCCCCUCCCCUGUGUGACAUCAUGCCAAGAUGGUUGCUCCCACCAAAGAACAAACCCUUCUUCCCAGCAUGCCCUUGUUCCCACCUAGAGAGUAACCUAAUACUUGCUCACCUCCUACCACUAGUGAUGUCACCAGCUCCUCCAUUCUCUAGUCACUACCUCACUCAAUCCCGCCUCAGCCCCUACAAACCCCACCCCAGUCUCUAUAAAAGACUCUCCCUGCCCUGGCCAUAUUGCUUUUGUCUCUCCUUUGUUCAGAGACAGCCCGGCAGAUCUAUUCCCCUAAUAAAGGCUUGUUGUGGCCUGGUCUGGUCUUGGCUUUCAGCCUUUUACCUGGCAGAAUCAUACUUUGUGAAUCAUAUCUAAGAAUUCUUUACCUAGCAACAGUUAAUAUUUUCUCUUAUUAUUUCUUCUAAAAAUUUGAUGGAGGUAAGGUUGUAACUCAGUGCAGCACACUUGCCCAGCAUACACAAGGCCCUGGGUUCAACCCCCAACACUGCAAAAAAUAAAAUUGUCUUAGUCACUUUUAUUAUUCCCAGGAUACAAUACCCAACACUCACAACUUAAAGGGG